AUGAAGGUGAUCGCAUGGAAUUGUUGGGGGCUUGCGAACCCACCGGCAAUUCAGAGCCUUCUUGAGAUACAGAGGGCGGAAGAUCCUGAUAUUCUCUUUCUCUCUGAAACGAAGCUCAGGGAGAAGGAGAUUGAGUUCCUAUGGUGGCGUUUGAACAUGGUGAACAUGGUGGUGAAAGAUUGUGGGGGGAGUGGUGGUCUGGCUCUUUUUUGGCGAAAGGGAAUAGCUGUUGCACUUUGGUGGAAGGGGCGGUAUCACAUCGAUGCCGAUGUCCAGGGGGAGGAUGGAAACAAGUGGAGGCUCACUGGAAUCUACGGGGAGUCGAGGGCAGGGGAGAAGGAGAACACAUGGAAGCUACUGAGGACUUUGCAUGGACAAUCAAACCUUCCCUGGCUUUGCAUAGGGGAUUUUAACGAAGUAUUGUUUGCGGGCGAAAAGGAAGGGGGGCCGGCUCGGGCCCAAGGUUGUAUGGAGGCGUUCAGGCAGACUUUGGAACAUUGUGAGUUGGCUGACCUGGGAUAUGUGGGUGACCCGUUUACAUGGAGAAAUAACUGGAGGGUGGCUAGCGGAUAUACUAGAGAAAGGCUGGACCGGGCGGUGGCAAAUGUGAUUUGGCGCUACAUGUUCCCUCUUCACAAAAUCAUUAACAGGGACCCUUGA
RNAcentral lists this ribosomal RNA (660 nucleotides) under Triticum aestivum (bread wheat). RNAcentral describes it as "partial small subunit ribosomal RNA". The record is from RNAcentral. Lineage: Eukaryota; Viridiplantae; Streptophyta; Magnoliopsida; Poales; Poaceae.